UAGGAGUCCCACAUACAAAAUUGCAAUGUUCUGAAGCUAUUCGUUUUUGAGUUAUGCGAGAUAAGAACGUACGUACGUACAGACGUCAUGAAAAAAAAAUCUCUUCUGAAUCCAUUUUAAAUCCAGUUUUCAAUCAGUUUGGGGGGGAAAAGUCCUUUAUUCUGUCUGUACGUACAAAUGUCAAUCAGGUCAAAAUGGAUAUUUUCGUUGAAAGAACCGAAAUUUUCGCGAUUACAAUACUUCCUUCACUUCGUACAAGGAAGUAAAAACUCUUAAAAACGCUUUAUUUUAUUUAGAAAACAAGAAUAGUUAGUUUAAAAAAUCCUCAAUGCUUUUUGAAAUCCUUAACCAAUAGACUUCAAUAUUUUCAUUUGAUAUCUAAUUAUCUUUUCCCAUAAUUUAAAUUCUCAAUGUGAUAAUUAUAUAUGUUUUAGGACAAUAAAAAUGUACUUUAUUCCUAUUCAAAAUCGCAGCUAUAUUUGGUUUUGUUCAUACAGAUUAAUUUGAAGCAAAAACUUCAAAUUAUUUUAAAAAAUUCUUUGCUCGCAUCAAAAAGAUCAUAUUCAUUUGUUAAAAUUUUUGCUUCGGACAUGGAGCAUCUCAAAACUGUUAAAGAAGCAAAAACAUUAUUAUAUUUUUAUUCAUCUUAAAGUAUUUUAUACGUUUACCCAUAUUCAAUGUGAAAUAUAUUUUGAUCAUUGCGUUUAAAAUGGCUUUGAUACAUAAUACAUUUAAUAUUUUUAAAAGUAUUUCUUGUUUAUAAUCAUGUGGGGAUUGAAUAGAAGCUCUUUAACUAAAUGACAGCUAAUUAAGAUGCAAUAACACGCCAAAAAAGGUCUUAAUUUAGAAGUCAAACAACAAAAAUCAACGUCAUAUUUUGUGAAAAUGUGAAAAUAUAACGUUGAUUUUUCUUGUUUGACUUCUAAAUUAAAUGACCGAUAUUAAAAUCAUUGAAUUUUGUUAGAAACUGCGUAUGGAGUUAGUAGCUACAUUCCAAAAUACUUUUUAAACAAACGAAACAAGAGAAAGAGAAAAAAAGAGGGCUAUUAAAUAGUUCCAUUUUGUCGUAAAGUCUAAUUAUAAAGCAAAUACUUGCUCAUAACGAUGUGACAUUCAAAAAAGCAAAGCAAUAUUUAUAGGUUUUAAAAGCAUUUCAUUUGACAUAUACAAGUAAGUUUCCUACGAUAAGCAAAAAGUUUUGAAACAAUCUUUCCAGUAAUUAACUUUUAUGCUGAGGUUAAUUUAAAAUCAGAAUACAAAUAAGUAUCAACGUGUUUCAUCAGAAACAAUUUUGGCUUCUGUUAUUCUUAUCAUUAAAUCAUAAACUUUAUGGACUUCGAAGAGCUGAAUGGCAUCAGUUUGUAUCUAAAUACAAUUCUUCCUCCUUAGGAGUGUUCCUGGCAUUUAAUUUGGGGAACGGACAUACGAGCUAGACGAUGAAGCUUGGAUAAUUGCUUUCUAUUUGAAACUUUAAACUCAAUUAUAGUCCUCAAGAUUACGCGAAUUGGACGACGUUGAUUUAUUGCGACGCCGUGAUGCUAGCCCAAGAUAAUGUCAAGCUAGCUCACAUGGGAUGACGCCAGUUUCCUUUUCAAAGGGAAGUGAAGCAUCCGCUGGUUCUUUUGUUUGCGUACUUAAUUUCGAUGGUAGUUGCUUCGUGGUCUUAUCUUCAUCGUAAAUGGAGAUUCUUUCUUCUUAUAAAAUGCAGACUUUGUUUUUAGUUUUGGUAUUCUUUGCUUAUGCAAAAGUGGAAUAUGCUAUUUCGUUUAAGUCAAAGCGGAUGGAAGUUUGUAGAAGGGGCAAAAAAUGAAGCUGAAGAAUAUGAGAGUUGACAAGUUUGGUGGAAGUUAGAUGGUGGAUAAGAUGGCAACUUCAGUGGCUAACAGAUGGUGCUUACCUUCAUUCAGUGAAGCUGAGACGAAACGGACGAUAGAACUAAAGACAAAAACAAGGAGGAUAGAUGCUGUGUAACGACGCAAAGACGAACUAUUCUUUAAUAUAAUAUUUAACAUUUUAUAAAUAGAUUCAUGUUCCUAUCUUCAUUCUGUUUGUGUGCAUCAUCUUAAAAUCAUCAUUAAAUGAAAUUUCAAUUUUACUGUCAUGUUUACAUCAUCUCGUGGACACCAUGAAUAUCUAAGUCUUUGUUCUAUGUAGUAAGUUCUACGAAAAGGAGACCUAGAUAUACACUCACGUGCAAAAUUAACAGGAUUUGUAAAUUAUGGCUAGUUUUAAUAAAAAAAAUUAUGGCUAUUUUUAAUAAAAGCUAUUGAACUGAAGGUAGUAAUUAUGUCGCCGAAGAGUUAUGCAAAUAUUCAGAGUCGAAUAUGUAAUUCACAAUGGAAUUGCUUCUCGUAAGAGUUAGGUAAAUUUUAUAUGGUAUUGCAUAAAAUAAGUAUCCACCAAUGUACUAAUGGCGAAUUGAGGUGAAGAAUUGUCUGUAGAUUGGAAACAGGCCAAUCCCAAGCGCAGAUGACUGCAAAACUAAAUGUAAUGCCCACUGUCGUCUGCAGUUUCUGGAAACACUUUUAGGACACUGAAUCCAUAUCGAAAAGACUUGAUGAAACCCAAACAAGAUCUACAACGGCAAACGAGGAUCGUAUUUGACGCCUUCGCGCGGCGACACAGGACUGCUGCAGCUUCCCAGCUCCAACGUGUACUGUAUGCUGCUACUGAAACCCAAUAUUCACGGUCUAAAGUUACACAAAGGUUCAUGUGAUAGAACUGUUUGCCAGAAGACCCACUGUUUGUGUCUUGCUCACUGCAGCACGAGAAGAAGCUCGUUUAGUAAGAUGCCCACAACAUGCGCCUUGGACCAGACUAAAUUUGAGAGCAGUUGUAUUUUGCACAUUCAGCCUUUCGGCGUACCUAUGUCUAGGCAUACCUAUUCUCGGCGUACCUAUGUAUAGAUAGUCUGUAACACGAUACCAUCCAUCCCUCAUCAACGAAAAGGAUCGUCACGAUGGUGGAGGUGUAAUGGUUCGAGAAGGCAUUAUUUUGGACGACCAUCCCCCCUGCAUGUAUUCGGCUAUGAAGCCUUACUGCUAUGAGGCAUCAGAGCACUGUAUUCGACAUUUCAGGUUUCUGGUUUCCUGCUGAUACACGACAACGCUCUCCUAAUACACAUACGGUUCAGCUGUUCGACGACUACAGGGAAAGUGAUGAUAUUCGCCGCAUAGAUUGGCAAAUCAAAUCGUCUCAUCUAUUAAUUCUAUCUUGAUAGAUGAGACACUUGAUGGCUUGAUAAAUUUAAAAGAUGAGACGAUUUUGCUUGAUAGAUGAGACACUUGAUGGCUUGAUAAAUUUAAAAGAUGAGACGAUUUUGCUUGAUAGAUGAGACACUUGAUGGCUUGAUAGAUUUAAUAGAUGAGACGAUUUGACCAAAUUUGGGAAGCUCUUGGGAGGGCAAUUUUAUUUCACCAACUCCCUCUGAGGGCCAUCCUGGAACUGAAACUGCCAUUCUGCGGAAGUGGGAUCGACUGCCACAGGGACUCGUAAACUGCUUCCUCUCCAUGCCGUCAUGCUGCGAAAAUUGUUUGGCAGUGGUAGAGGAUCGUACUCCAUAUUAGAUUCAUUUUCAGUUCGAUAUCACAAGAUGGAUUUUAAAUAUCUCUGUACUAUGAGCUUUACUAAUUAUCACGCAUACAUAAAAUGACUUUUGAAUGGUACAUCUCUUUCUCUGCUAUAAAUGUGUAUUUAUACUUGGUUUCACUAAAUUUUGUUCUUUAGCUUUUCAGAAAUUCCGACUAAAAUGCAAAUUUUCUUAAUUUUGCACAGGAGUGUAUAUAUAUAUAUAUAUAAUAUAUAUAUAUAUUAAAAUGUUAAAUAAGCAUUCUUUAGCUUUUUAUGAAAACACUGGAGAUAACCUCUACUUUAUUAUUUCAUUUAAAUUAAAAUGUUUCUGUAAAGGCAGUUUUAUAUAAAAUUUUUAAUUUUCUGGAAAAGUUUUCUGGAAAGUAAUUUUGAAUCCCACUAUCCAAGACAAUUUUCUAAAAUAUCUUUAAUAUUCUCAGAAUUUAUUAGACAAACGACUUAUGAAUUUAUUUUUAAAAUGUAUGAAAAUCUUACUUUAUCAAAAAAAUUUUCAAAAAUAUUAUAACCAAAUUAAUUAAUUCUUAUAGGAUUCCAGUAAACAUACGGCGAAUUCCAGUAAACAUGCUUAUUUUAAUAUAUUAAAUAUAUGUAACUUUACUUUUUGAUUUAUUUCCUACUUAAAGACACUGAAUAUUCUGAAUUUAAAAAUAAGAAAACUUUAGAUUAGCAAGGACAAAACAGUAUUCCCUUCAUGUACGUAAAUCGAAAUAAUAAAUCACAGCAGUCUUCCAAAACAUUUGAAAUUUUCUUUAUUUUCUAAACAAAUAUUAAAAAAAGAAUAAAUCCUAAUACAUUAUGUGAUAUUUUUGCAGAUAAGUGCAGUUCUAUGUGCAAACUCAACUACACCGUUUUAUUGGCGCAGAAAUUCAUUGCAAAUGGUUUGUUGUCCUUCAUAAAUUAUUUUAGAGAUUAUCCAAGUUAGUAAGUUUCCUUUGAUAUUAAACUUGCUGUUGAUUGUGCAAUUAUUCAAAUUUACAGAGCUCUGAUAUCUGGUAUUUAUGUUAUAAGAAUAUAGUGCAAAUAGGAACAGUGAAAGAGUCUCUCUGUGCGUCUGUGCCUUUUCAGUAAAAUUUUUUCUUAAAAUUGAAGAAUGAAAAUCUGGAUAGUAACGUAUAAAUGUAUAAAGAGAAUGAAAACAACGAAAUAUUAUCUAAGAAUUCUUUUCAGAUGUAAAUCCUGACUUGUCUUUUGUUGUUAUUAUUAUGAAUUUAUAAAUUAGUUUUCUCCCAUAGAAGGAUUUGUUGUCUUGAAUAAAUUAGUACAAGAAUUGCUUUGAAAGGUUUUAUUUUUCAAAAGGAUAAGAGUGUGUUCGAAAUACUUUCUAUUUGAAUUCAGCUCCACACUUUCUAUACAAUUUAUAGAAAAUUACAUUAUUUGCAAAAACUUAUAUUAGUUUUGAAAAUAUUUACAAUACACUAGCAUUGCAAGUCCCAAUUUUUAUAAUUUUUAUACCUAAAAUUCUACCUUAAUAUAAUACUUUUUAAUGAUUACAACAACACAAAAAUUUACAUAAAAUAUUAUCACAUAAUAGGUGCACCUCUUUACUGAAGAGAUGGUUCCUGUAAAAUAUAACGGAUUUUACAAGAAGUUUAAUUUUCUGAUAAUUAAUUUACAGAUAAUGGAAAAAUACGAAAAAAUCUUCAUUCUUCAAUUGAGAUCCAAUGACACAAUUUGCAGGAAAUAUAACAGGAGUUUUUAUCCAACAAAUUACAUGCAAGUGUUAUAAUAAAUAUUAUAAUUGAAUUAAACUAAGCAAAAUGAAUGAUUACAAUGAAAUACUACAUUCUACAUCCAUAAUAAUCUGCAAUAUCAGAUUCUUAUCGAAAAUUAUCACUUUUAAUAUGCAUUUUAUUACAGUAAUUUAGUUAUUUAAUUUUCAGCCGCACGUAAAAUUACGAACUUAUACGUGCAUUCUUAAUAUAUUCUAAAAUAUUAAAAUAUUGAUGAUAGAAAUACUAUCAUCGGAUAAAAUACGUUACCAAAAAUUUAAAAGCGUUUUUACUAUUAACUACACUGAUACAAUUUCAUAAGUAAAUACUCAUAUGACUCUUAUAUUUCUUAAAUGUAUGUGUCUUCUAUAAAUAAAGACAAUGAUUUUUUUUUUGGUUUUUUUGGUUUAAUAAUUAACAAAGAAAAUAAUAGUAAACAUGUUUAUCAAUCGAUAUGCAAAAUAUUAACUAAAAUAAAAUACUAUUUUGUUCACUGACGUGGUUUAAAUAUUUUGCACCUUUAAACAUAAUGCAAAUUAUGUUUAAAGGUAUGAUUUAUGCAUUGAAACUUGGUAGUUAAAACAUAAUUUGCAUUAUGUUUAAAGGUGCAAAAUAUUUAAACCACGUCAGUGAACAAAAUAGUAUUUUAUUUAUUUUAGAAGUAUUUUUAGAAGAAGUGAAUACUUGUUUUGGUUAAGUCUUUGCGAGGUGCAAUGAACUAUAGAUUCCAGAAUAAUUAUAGGGAAAAGAUUAUAGAAAGGAAGAAAGGGAAAAUUUAAGCAGAUAUAGUUAUUAUAUUGAUGUAGAAAGACUAAAAUAUCACUAUAUAAUUAACAGAGUAUUAAGUGAGAAAAACUAAUAAAUCGAAAGGUACAAAUAA
RNAcentral lists this long non-coding RNA (6180 nucleotides) under Stegodyphus dumicola. RNAcentral describes it as "uncharacterized LOC118191132". Lineage: Eukaryota; Metazoa; Arthropoda; Arachnida; Araneae; Eresidae. The record is from RNAcentral.